Penaeus monodon (black tiger shrimp) is the source of this 673-nucleotide long non-coding RNA. RefSeq lists it as uncharacterized. The transcript is spliced from 3 exons. The record is from RefSeq and is a predicted model, not a curated record. NCBI's taxonomy places the organism in Eukaryota, Metazoa, Arthropoda, Malacostraca, Decapoda, Penaeidae.
GAAGAGGCUCAUAUCUACCACCAACUAAAAGGUACUAUAUUUUGAGACGCAUGAGGAUAUUUCUACAGCGAACAAAUAUAAUUGACUACAUAUAAGAUACACAGAAAAUGAGAAGAAAAGGAUCUAGGGGAUAUAGACAAUAAUAUAGUCUAAAAAACCCUAAAAAGAAGAAGGAGAAGAAGAAGAACGCCGCGUCAGGAAGGGGCUCCUUGGUUCAGAUCUACCACCAACUGAAAGAUACAACAUUUUGAGAUGCAUGAAGAUAUGUCUACAGUGAACAAAUAUAAGUCAUUACAUGUAAGCUACAAAGAAAAUCAGAAGAAAAGGAACCCAGGGGAUAUAGACAGUGUUAUAUUUGAAAACCUAAUGAAAGAAAUUAAAGAAAAUCAGAAGAAAAGGAACCAGAGGAUAUAGACAAUAUUAUAGUCCAAAACCCAAUAAAAGGAGAAGAGGUUUUAUCUACUUUGGCAUCAAAAAGUGGGGGCAGUGCUCCCUGUGACCCUUCCUGGGGGGCCACUGCCUCCCAACCCCCACCCUGGAGAACAAAAAAUCCUCCACGUUUUUGCAGCAGGAGAGAGCAUCGGACAGACAAGGCAUUGGGUGCCUAGUCUGGUCACUGUGGGUAUUGCAAGAAUUCCACACUGUUCGCACUCCUGUAAAACUAGUUAGUAGA